This is a non-coding RNA of Taeniopygia guttata (zebra finch), 892 nucleotides long. The record is from RefSeq and is a predicted model, not a curated record. NCBI's taxonomy places the organism in Eukaryota, Metazoa, Chordata, Aves, Passeriformes, Estrildidae.
CAAGGGCGGGCAGCCGGGACAAGGGCGGGCAGCUGGGACAACGGGGAGCGGCUUCCCGCUGCCAGAGGGACGCCGGGGAGAAUUUCGUCCCCGGGAGGUGGGCGUGUGGCCCUGGCGCAGGUUGCAGAGAUAAGCUGUGGAUGCCCAAUCACUGCAAGUGUUCAAGGCCAGAUUGAACGGGGUUUGCAGCAUCCUUCCUGGUCGGGAGAAAGGAGUCCCUGCCCCAUGGCGAGCGGCGUGGGGGCAGCGAAAUCUGGUGGUUUUUUGAGCAUCCCUUCCAACCCAAACCAUUCAAGGAUUCAAUGGUACUAGAAUCUCUUUUCAGGUUUCAUCCCCCAGCAAAAAGCACAGAAUCAAUUAGGUUGGAAAACACCUCAUCGAGUUUAACACAGGACCGAACACCACCAUGUCAACCAGACCAUGGCACUGGAUGCCCUCUUUCCUUAAACACCCCCAGGGACAGUGAUUCUACCACCUCCCUGGGCAGAAACAGUUACUUUGUGCUGUUCUCAUCUACUCUAGUCUGAGUUUUACAGAGGAAAAUUCCUGAAUUUCUAUAAACACCUAUUAACGGAAAAGAUCUGACUGAAUUUGGAGCAAGACCAUACAUACACUGUGUAGUGAAAGACUGUAAAAUACUGUUCCAGUUUGCAAUGAAAAUGCAACUAAGUUUGAUGAGAAGCUUCAUGUAGAUACCUUUCAGAACAACAGGCAGAAGGAUUUUUAGAACAAUGGGCCACCCUUAUACAAUUGCAGCAUUUAUGUUCAAAUGCUGUUUCAAAUGUCGUUAUGUUCAUGCUAAUCCUGCCUAACUACAUGUUCAGUACUGUUAAGAAAAUGUUACUAAAAUGAAGCCUGGAGUUAUCAAUUAAAUCUUUUACUCUUUAAAUCA